AUUGAACGCUGGCGGCAUGCCUUACACAUGCAAGUCGAACGGCAGCACGGGGGCAACCCUGGUGGCGAGUGGCGAACGGGUGAGUAAUACAUCGGAACGUGCCCAGUAGUGGGGGGAUAGCCCGGCGAAAGCCGGAUUAAUACCGCAUACGACUUACGGGUGAAAGCGGGGGAUCGCAAGACCUCGCGCUAUCGGAGCGGCCGAUGUCAGAUUAGGUUGUUGGUGGGGUAAAAGCCCACCAAGCCGACGAUCUGUAGCUGGUCUGAGAGGACGACCAGCCACACUGGGACUGAGACACGGCCCAGACUCCUACGGGAGGCAGCAGUGGGGAAUUUUGGACAAUGGGCGCAAGCCUGAUCCAGCCAUGCCGCGUGCGGGAA
This 380-nucleotide ribosomal RNA is filed under the name uncultured bacterium. Its description in RNAcentral is "bacterial SSU rRNA". It matches the Rfam family "Bacterial small subunit ribosomal RNA", at positions 29 to 409 of the family's 1533-position model. The record is from RNAcentral.